CCCGCCGCGGCCCGCGCGCGCUCGGGU
Molecule: non-coding RNA, 27 nt
Filed under: Alexandrium minutum
Lineage: Eukaryota; Dinophyceae; Gonyaulacales; Pyrocystaceae
Source: RNAcentral